GGACGAACGCUGGCGGCGUGCUUAACACAUGCAAGUCGAACGAUGAAGCCUUUCGGGGUGGAUUAGUGGCGAACGGGUGAGUAACACGUGGGCAAUCUGCCCUGCACUCUGGGACAAGCCCUGGAAACGGGGUCUAAUACCGGAUAUGACAUCCUCCCGCAUGGGAAGGGUGUGGAAAGCUCCGGCGGUGCAGGAUGAGCCCGCGGCCUAUCAGCUUGUUGGUGGGGUGAUGGCCUACCAAGGCGACGACGGGUAGCCGGCCUGAGAGGGCGACCGGCCACACUGGGACUGAGACACGGCCCAGACUCCUACGGGAGGCAGCAGUGGGGAAUAUUGCACAAUGGGCGAAAGCCUGAUGCAGCGACGCCGCGUGAGGGAUGACGGCCUUCGGGUUGUAAACCUCUUUCAGCAGGGAAGAAGCGCAAGUGACGGUACCUGCAGAAGAAGCACCGGCUAACUACGU
RNAcentral lists this ribosomal RNA (463 nucleotides) under Streptomycetaceae bacterium 'ARUP UnID 640'. Its description in RNAcentral is "bacterial SSU rRNA". It matches the Rfam family "Bacterial small subunit ribosomal RNA", at positions 27 to 506 of the family's 1533-position model. The record is from RNAcentral. Lineage: Bacteria; Bacillati; Actinomycetota; Actinomycetes; Kitasatosporales; Streptomycetaceae.